UAUAUUUUAGUAUAUGAUGUACGGAAUUUUUUGAUAAUUCAAGAAAUAGUUUAAUUCUAUUAAAUAUAA
This 69-nucleotide transfer RNA is filed under the name Sambus kanssuensis. RNAcentral's name for it is "tRNA-Gln". Lineage: Eukaryota; Metazoa; Arthropoda; Insecta; Coleoptera; Buprestidae. The record is from RNAcentral.